CCGUUUGCCAACUGUUGCGCGUCAAGAAGUUCAUGUCGUCAUUGCCCUUUCGAAGCCUGUCUUCAAGGUCAACCUGGCCGUCGCAGUUAAUAUCGUUUUAUUUGUCUAGACGACAUGCACUUCUUUGUCUCUUUACGCUGCUGAGGAAAAAACCCGCCCUGGCAGGCAACAGCUCCCAGUAGGCAACAAUACAAAACCCGCCCUGGCAUUUUUUGUGUUUUUAUAGCUCUCCAUGCAUGGAAUUGCCUCGUCCCAUUAUCAUGCCUCCGCGCGCGGGCAAGACUUUGCGACCGUCGGCUUGGGGAGUUCAAGAACGAAGACAGCGAUCGGAGCUAGUGUGCAGUGGGUGUCCUGUACUGAGCUUUCUUCUCAGCGCAAAACAUCAUUAUGGUGAAACGGCGAAACCGCAGGACCGAAGGACUGCCAGCCCCCUGCACGACUGCAAGGAUUGGACAUUUUAUUCUUUGUGCAUCAGAGUCCACAUUCCUGUUAGUUUUUAAUGCCAAGUCGCACAUGAAUUGGGUGCUGAUCUUUCUAUUAUGGGAUCCCAAAGAGUCCGUCGCGAUAGGGUUUCAUGUAUCCCAUGACUGUUUCCUU
This 597-nucleotide long non-coding RNA is filed under the name Volvox carteri. Its description in RNAcentral is "long non-coding RNA (VCAR_LNC001848)". Lineage: Eukaryota; Viridiplantae; Chlorophyta; Chlorophyceae; Chlamydomonadales; Volvocaceae. The record is from RNAcentral.